Non-coding RNA from Podarcis lilfordi (Lilford's wall lizard), 1438 nucleotides. Lineage: Eukaryota; Metazoa; Chordata; Lepidosauria; Squamata; Lacertidae. The record is from the annotation of a GenBank genome assembly.
AAAUAUUGAAGAUGCCUCAGCCCCCCUGGAGUUGGUUUGCCUGCUCAAUAGUCAGAGGUAGUAUGCCUCUGGGUACCAGUUUGCCAGGAAUCAAAGGUAAGUGGAGUGCCAUUGAGCUCAGGUCUUGCUGCCAGGCUUCCCAGAGGCAUCAGUCUGACCAAUGUGAGAACAGGAUGCUAGGCUAGAUGGGCCAAUGGCCUGGUCCAACAGGGUUCUUCUUAUGUUCUUAAUGGGGGUCACACAAAUUCUUGGAGGAUAGGGAUCCUAGCUACAACGACUAGGUUCUAUGUCUCCUGUCAGACGCAGCAUGGCCCUGAAAACCAGUUCCAGGGAACCGCAAGAGGGGGGGAGAGUCUCUUCUGCACUUCGAUACUGCUUGAAGUCUUCUGGUAAUUCCAGUUCUGGGCACCACAAUUUAAGAAGGAUGUUGACAAGCUGGAACGUGUGCAGAGGAGGGCAACCAAGAUGAUGAUGAUGAUGAUGAUGAUGAUGAUAAUACAAUUUUAUUUAUACCCCCUCCCUUCCCGGUUCAGAGGUUUGUGAGCUUAGAAGGUUGUGGACUCUCCUUCCUUGGAAGUUUCUAAGCAGAGGUUGGAUGGCCAUCUGUCAUGGAUGCUUUAGCUGAGAUUCCUGCAUGGCAGUGGGCUGGACCAGAUGACCUCCCUUCUAGAUCUGCAUUUCUAUUAUUCUAUCUAGUAAGUCACUAUGAGAACAGGACACUGGAGUAGAUGAGUCAUUGGCGUGAUCCAGCAGACUUAUCUUAUGCUCGGAAGAUGAUGAACUCUCCUUCAUUGAGAGCCAGUGUGGUGUAGUGGUUAAGAGCGGUGGACCCGUAAUCUGGUGAACCGGGUUCGCUUCCCCGCUCCUCCACAUGCAGCUGCUGGGUGACCUUGGUCUAGUCACACUUCUCUGAAGUCUCUCAGCCUCACUCACCUCACAGAGUGUUUGUUGUGGGGGAGGAAGGGAAAGGAGAAUGUUAGCCGCUUUGAGACUCCUUCAGGUGGUGAUAAAGCGGGAUAUCAAAUCCAAACGCUUCUUCAUUGCAGGCUUCUCAACAGAGGUUGGACGACCAUCUGUCCGGGAUGCCUUAGUUGUGAUUCCUGCAUGGCAGUGGGCUGGACUAGAUGCCUCUUGGGGUCCCUUGCGACUCUGCAAUUCUGUGCUUCUCUUCUUCUCCUGUGUAGAUUUGGCAGGUUUGUUGAAUGGCUGUCUGGAGCUGAAACCGAUGAAGAGGCAGAAGAAUCUGGUGGAGAAAUUUGGAACGGGAAGACAAAGCAAACGACAGGAAAGGGGGGACACACAAGCGCACACAAACUGCAAUGGGACAGCCCCAAAGAGAAAGGGAAGCUUUAGAACUCACAAGAGGAAUGCCAGUACAAAUGAAAACCAUUCCAGAGCACUGGGGGAUUAUGAACUGGCAUUCCCGCUAAUAUAGCAC